CGCUCAGUGUUGUUAUAUGGUGUAAUUUCACUUUUACACUAAAAGUGCGGAAUAAAAACCCCGCCGAAUUGUCUGGACUCCGCCCUUCAAUGACUGCUGUCUCGGGAAGCGACCGAGACGGUUUAGUGUUAAGUUCGUGUUCGUGAGGUGGAGAGAUGUAACGUUAAGUUACAGAAGAGUGUGAAAGUUUCUCAUGCCGGUUCGAUUUCCUGAAAAAAGAUCCUCUCGCCUCCAUUCCCGCCGAGGCCUGGUUUUACUACGAGUCGCACUGAAGUUUGAAGCAGCCACAUUUGGGCGGUUUUCUACUCAAAU
Sinocyclocheilus rhinocerous is the source of this 312-nucleotide long non-coding RNA. RefSeq lists it as uncharacterized. NCBI's taxonomy places the organism in Eukaryota, Metazoa, Chordata, Actinopteri, Cypriniformes, Cyprinidae. The transcript is spliced from 3 exons. The record is from RefSeq and is a predicted model, not a curated record.